AGGAGCGUAGCUCAAUUGGCAGAGCAGCUGAUUCCAAAUCAGCAGGUUGGGGGUUCGAGUCCCUUCGCUCCUG
RNAcentral lists this transfer RNA (73 nucleotides) under Planctomycetota bacterium. Its description in RNAcentral is "tRNA-Trp". It matches the Rfam family "tRNA". Rfam says of the family: Transfer RNA (tRNA) molecules are approximately 80 nucleotides in length. Their secondary structure includes four short double-helical elements and three loops (D, anti-codon, and T loops). Lineage: Bacteria; Pseudomonadati; Planctomycetota. RNAcentral also lists the same sequence under 1 other name. The record is from RNAcentral.